RNAcentral lists this ribosomal RNA (504 nucleotides) under uncultured bacterium. Its description in RNAcentral is "bacterial SSU rRNA". It matches the Rfam family "Bacterial small subunit ribosomal RNA", at positions 28 to 521 of the family's 1533-position model. The record is from RNAcentral.
GAUGAACGCUAGCUACAGGCUUAACACAUGCAAGUCGAGGGGCAGCAUGAACUUAGCUUGCUAAGUUUGAUGGCGACCGGCGCACGGGUGAGUAACACGUAUCCAACCUUCCGUUUACUCAGGGAUAGCCUUUCGAAAGAAAGAUUAAUACCUGAUAGUAUGGUGAGAUUGCAUGAUAGCACCAUUAAAGAUUUAUUGGUAAACGAUGGGGAUGCGUUCCAUUAGGUAGUAGGCGGGGUAACGGCCCACCUAGCCGACGAUGGAUAGGGGUUCUGAGAGGAAGGUCCCCCACAUUGGAACUGAGACACGGUCCAAACUCCUACGGGAGGCAGCAGUGAGGAAUAUUGGUCAAUGGACGAGAGUCUGAACCAGCCAAGUAGCGUGAAGGAUGAAGGUCCUACGGAUUGUAAACUUCUUUUAUAAGGGAAUAAACCCUCCCACGUGUGGGAGCUUGUAUGUACCUUAUGAAUAAGCAUCGGCUAACUCCGUGCCAGCAGCCGCGGU